RNAcentral lists this ribosomal RNA (466 nucleotides) under Vreelandella stevensii. RNAcentral describes it as "partial 16S ribosomal RNA". It matches the Rfam family "Bacterial small subunit ribosomal RNA", at positions 338 to 795 of the family's 1533-position model. Lineage: Bacteria; Pseudomonadati; Pseudomonadota; Gammaproteobacteria; Oceanospirillales; Halomonadaceae. The record is from RNAcentral.
CCUACGGGCGGCAGCAGUGGGGAAUAUUGGACAAUGGGCGAAAGCCUGAUCCAGCCAUGCCGCGUGUGUGAAGAAGGCCUUCGGGUUGUAAAGCACUUUCAGUGGGGAAGAAAGCCUUGGGGCUAAUACCCUCGAGGAAGGACAUCACCCACAGAAGAAGCACCGGCUAACUCCGUGCCAGCAGCCGCGGUAAUACAGGAGGGUGCGAGCGUUAAUCGGAAUUACUGGGCGUAAAGCGCGCGUAGGCGGUCUGAUAAGCCGGUUGUGAAAGCCCCGGGCUCAACCUGGGAACGGCAUCCGGAACUGUCAGGCUAGAGUGCAGGAGAGGAAGGUAGAAUUCCCGGUGUAGCGGUGAAAUGCGUAGAGAUCGGGAGGAAUACCAGUGGCGAAGGCGGCCUUCUGGACUGACACUGACGCUGAGGUGCGAAAGCGUGGGUAGCAAACAGGAUUAGAUACCCUAGUAGUC